AGAGUUUGAUCCUGGCUCAGGAUGAACGCUGGCGGCGUGCCUAACACAUGCAAGUCGAACGGAAAGCUUGCUUUCGAAUGAGCGGAGAGUGGCGCACGGGUGAGUAACACGUAGCUUAUCUGCCCUGAAGACGGGGAUAACCCACGGAAACGUGGGCUAAUACCCGAUAAGCUCACACUGCUUAGUAAGGUGUGAGAAAAGCUCCGGCGCUUUGGGAUGAGGCUGCGGCCCAUCAGCUUGUUGGUAAGGUAAUGGCUUACCAAGGCUACUACGGGUAGGGGACCUGAGAGGGUGACCCCCCACACUGGGACUGAGACACGGCCCAGACUCCUACGGGAGGCAGCAGUGAGGAAUAUUGCGCAAUGGACGAAAGUCUGACGCAGCAACGCCGCGUGGGUGAUGAAGGCCUUCGGGUCGUAAAGCCCUUUUCUUAGUGACGAGUACGGACGGUAACUGAGGAAUAAGUGUCGGCUAACUACGUGCCAGCAGCCGCGGUAAAACGUAGGACGCAAGCGUUAUCCGGAAUUACUGGGCGUAAAGCGCGUGCAGGCGGGACAACAAGUCAGCCGUGAAAGCUCCCGGCUAAACUGGGAGAGGUCGGUUGAAACUGUUGUUCUUGAGGAUGUCAGAGGUAUGUGGAAUUCCACGUGUAGUGGUGAAAUGCGUAGAUAUGUGGAGGAACACCAGUGGCGAAGGCGGCAUACUGGGGCAUCACUGACGCUGAGACGCGAAAGCAUGGGUAGCGAACGGGAUUAGAAACCCCGGUAGUCCAUGCCGUAAACGAUGUACACUAAACGUUCGUAGGGCCACGUGUCCUAUGAGUGUUGAAGCUAACGCGAUAAGUGUACCGCCUGGGGAGUACGGUCGCAAGGCUAAAACUCAAAGGAAUUGACGGGGGCCCGCACAAGCAGCGGAGCGUGUGGUUUAAUUCGAGGCUACGCGAAAAACCUUACCUGGGUUUGAAAUCAUAGUGUUAGGUCUGGGAAAUCAGAUUGACCUUCGGGAGCUAUGACAGGUGCUGCAUGGCUGUCGUCAGCUCGUGUCGUGAGAUGUUCGGUUAAGUCCGAAAACGAGCGCAACCCCUAUUGUUAGUUACAUGUGUCUAACGAGACUGCCUGCGGCAAGCAGGAGGAAGGUGGGGAUGACGUCAAGUCAGCAUGGUCUUUAUGUCCAGGGCUACACACACGCUACAAUGGCGCGUACAAUGGGUCGCUAAACCGCGAGGUGGAGCCAAUCCUCUAAAGCGCGUCCUAGUUCGGAUUGCAGGCUGCAACUCGCCUGCAUGAAGUCGGAGUUGCUAGUAACCGCAAAUCAGCACGUUGCGGUGAAUACGUUCCCGGGCCUUGUACACACCGCCCGUCACGUCACGGGAGUUGGUCACGCCUGUAGUCGAGAAGCUAACCGCAAGGAGGCUAUCGCCGAAGGCAGGGCCGAUGACUGGGACGAAGUCGUAACAAGGUA
RNAcentral lists this ribosomal RNA (1461 nucleotides) under metagenome. RNAcentral's name for it is "bacterial SSU rRNA". It matches the Rfam family "Bacterial small subunit ribosomal RNA". The record is from RNAcentral.